This is a long non-coding RNA of Magnolia sinica, 646 nucleotides long. RefSeq lists it as uncharacterized. The record is from RefSeq and is a predicted model, not a curated record. The transcript is spliced from 2 exons. NCBI's taxonomy places the organism in Eukaryota, Viridiplantae, Streptophyta, Magnoliopsida, Magnoliales, Magnoliaceae.
GGUUUAUGUUCUAAAAUAGAGCUGACGAUGAUGCUUCCCCAUUAAAUCUGUUAUCAAAUGUUGUUGGUAAUGCUCUUGGCAUUUGCUGAAUAGCUCCUGCAUUGCUCUGAAUCCGAUUCACCUCUACUUGUUAAAUGGAACCUUGUGUCCUGUGAACAGAAUCUCUAUUUCUAGCCAAGGACUUCUUUCAUAGAAUUGGCUGGCAAGCUCUCACAAUAAUCUCAUAAGAACAAAGGAAUUGAGGAAAGAAUACACUCCCAAGCAUUUCAAGCUAUUCUGAACAAGCAUAUAUAAUUCAUUGUUAAAGCUAUGCCAAGACAAACCUAGCAAACAUAUUAAUGCAUGAAGAGAAGGGAAAAAAGAAAACAAGAGACAAAACUGACCUUGGUAGUUUAUUACAGAAGGAGAAGACUUGCAUUGGAGCUCUCCAUCCAUACCAAAACCAGCAAACUCACUUUCCAAAAUAGGAAAUCUCUCCUUUACAUCCUCUCUUUCACUCCAAAAACCUCUCACCCUCUUCUCACUGUCAAAGAUAAUACACCAUGAUCACCAUAGACCAAAAGCAAGCAAUUUCCACAUGGAAUUCUAUACAUAAAACCAACAUAAGCACAAAAGUAAAAGGCCAAAUGAGAAACAACUGCAAUAU